UCCCUUAGUAACUGCCAGUGAAACGGGAAAAGCCCAGCGCUGAAUCCUUCAACCACUGGUUGCUAGGAAUUGUAGCGUAUAGAUGCGACUAUCCGUUCGUUUCGUGCACCCAAAGUCCCCUUGAGCGGGGCUAUAGUCCAAAGAAGGUGCUAGACCUGUACGGGUGGCGAAGCGAAUGGUUGAUCGCUCCUUGGAGUCGGGUUGCCUGGGAUCGCAGCCCAAAGUUGGUGGUAGAUCUCAUCUAAGGCUAAAUAUGGCCACGAAACCGAUAGCAAACAAGUACCGUGAGGGAAAGUUGCAAAGAACUUUGAAGAGAGAGUUCAAGAGGGCGUGAAACCGUUGAGAUUGAAACGGAUAGAGUUAACGGAACUCGGCUGCAUUCAUCCGAUCGGCUUAAUGGCUCAAUAGCGUUUGCAUUCUCGAUGAGAGCAACGUUAUCGAUAACUAUUCGGUAAUUGAUCGGUGUAUUUGCGGCUGGUAUGCGCUGAGAGUUUUGUGAUCGUAUGUUAACGGAUGUGAAGUGGACCAUUCUUUUCGGGCGUGGAACCCUUCAUAUCUUUAGGCAUAUCGAUUAUAAAAUUUUAAACGUAUCGUCUCCGCUAUUGUGCGUCGCCUUAUGUCUACUAUUGUGAUUAUUGAAUAUUCGCAUGCGAAUAUUUGUGGUCAACAAUAUUACGAUAUGAGUGAUAUGGACGCGUUGAGACGUAUAUCUCGGUGUGAACGUUGACCACCUAUCCGACCCGUCUUGAAACACGGACCAAGGAGUCUAGCAUAUGCGCGAGUCAUUGGGUGGUAAACCUAAGGGCGUAAUGAAAGUAAAAGUCACCUCGAUGUGGCCGAUAUGGGAUCCGGAGAGCUUAUGAGCAAUUCGGCGCACCAUAGCCCCGUCCUCAUUGCUUGCAAUAGGGCGGAGGUAGAGCGCAUAUGCUGGGACCCGAAAGAUGGUGAACUAUGCCUGAGCAGGAUGAAGCCAGAGGAAACUCUGGUGGAAGUCCGAAGCGGUUCUGACGUGCAAAUCGAUCGUCUGACUUGGGUAUAGGGGCGAAAGACUAAUCGA
This 1057-nucleotide ribosomal RNA is filed under the name Parascaris equorum. RNAcentral describes it as "LSU rRNA". It matches the Rfam family "Eukaryotic large subunit ribosomal RNA", at positions 76 to 938 of the family's 3401-position model. Lineage: Eukaryota; Metazoa; Nematoda; Chromadorea; Rhabditida; Ascarididae. The record is from RNAcentral.